UAUAAACUCGAGAUGGUUGAUCUGCUAUGUGAUCAUUAGCCGAUCAAGUGAUAUGUCCACUUCCAUUCCUAUCUUGUUUAGUUCCUUUUUCAAGUUCAGCAGCCAGCCCUACCUA
This is a long non-coding RNA of Limulus polyphemus (Atlantic horseshoe crab), 115 nucleotides long. RefSeq lists it as uncharacterized. The record is from RefSeq and is a predicted model, not a curated record. The transcript is spliced from 3 exons. Lineage: Eukaryota; Metazoa; Arthropoda; Merostomata; Xiphosura; Limulidae.